AACGCCCGCGGUAAUUCCAGCUCCAAUAGCGUAUAUUAAAGUUGUUGCAGUUAAAAAGCUCGUAGUUGAAUUUCGGGGUCAGUAGGUCGGUCGUGCCACUGGUAUGAACUGGUUUUACUGAUUCCUCCCUCUUGAAGAACUGUAAUGCCAUUAAUUUGGUGUUGCAGGGAAUCAGGACUGUUACUUUGAAAAAAUUAGAGUGUUUAAAGCAGGCUUUAGCUUGAAUACAUUAGCAUGGAAUAAUGAAAUAGGACGUUUGAUCCUAUUUUGUUGGUUUCUAGGAUUGACGUAAUGAUUAAUAGGGAUAGUUGGGGGCAUUAGUAUUCAAUUGUCAGAGGUGAAAUUCUUGGAUUUAUUGAAGACUAACUACUGCGAAAGCAUUUGCCAAGGAUGUUUUCAUUAAUCAAGAACGAAAGUUAGGGGAUCGAAGACGAUCAGAUACCGUCGUAGUCUUAACCAUAAACUAUGCCGACUAGGGAUCGGAUGAUGUUAAUUUUUUAAUGACUCA
RNAcentral lists this ribosomal RNA (508 nucleotides) under Glomus sp. Glo3. Its description in RNAcentral is "SSU rRNA". It matches the Rfam family "Eukaryotic small subunit ribosomal RNA", at positions 569 to 1078 of the family's 1831-position model. Lineage: Eukaryota; Fungi; Glomeromycota; Glomeromycetes; Glomerales; Glomeraceae. The record is from RNAcentral.